UCCUAUAGUAUGGUAGAAAAUCAUUAGCCU
Molecule: non-coding RNA, 30 nt
Filed under: Rattus norvegicus (Norway rat)
Lineage: Eukaryota; Metazoa; Chordata; Mammalia; Rodentia; Muridae
Source: RNAcentral